Non-coding RNA from Pelobates cultripes (western spadefoot toad), 231 nucleotides. NCBI's taxonomy places the organism in Eukaryota, Metazoa, Chordata, Amphibia, Anura, Pelobatidae. The record is from the annotation of a GenBank genome assembly.
CCCCUCUCUCGGGAUCUGUUAUUCUUUUCUUCCUGUCUUCUUUAGUUUUCUUUAAAAUCAUAAGACAAAGUAGGGACUCUUUGCCUUAUGGAGGAUUCCUCCGCUUGACCAGCUCUGACCAGCGGAGGAGCAAAGUGUGCUUCAUUUCCACUGGUCAGAGCAAUUUUCCCAUGAUCCCUAGCUUUCCUCUGUGUUCCCACAAUGCUUCCUGUCACUUUACACAAAACUGCC